Long non-coding RNA from Hyaena hyaena (striped hyena), 397 nucleotides. RefSeq lists it as uncharacterized. The record is from RefSeq and is a predicted model, not a curated record. Lineage: Eukaryota; Metazoa; Chordata; Mammalia; Carnivora; Hyaenidae. The transcript has 3 exons.
CCAACACAGUGGGACCUUCUGUGAGUCUCUGAGCCUCCCACAGCCUCAGCUUCCCUACCUGUCAAGAAGGGAAAACACCCGUGUCCCCUCUAUGAGGCCUUGUCACACCAGAUCUCAUCUAGUCUCGAGGCAUCAAAUGUCUUCUAUGCUGUGGACUCCCGAACACCCGCGUAUGCACCUGCCAUCCCCCAUCCAGACCUCUCUCCCACCCGUUGCCCACUCUGUGAUCCACUUGCUGUCUAACAAACACCUCGGAUGUCCCAGCCCCUGCUCCUCUGCCUUGAAUGCCCUUCCCUGAUGUGUCUGCAAGGCUCACUCCCUCACCACCCUUAUGCCUUCAUUCAAAUGCCACCUGCUUGGUCAUGAUCUUGUGGUUCGUGAGAUAGAGCCCCACGUG